GAGCGAACGCUGGCGGCAGGCCUAACACAUGCAAGUCGAACGGACCUUUCGGGGUUAGUGGCGGACGGGUGAGUAACACGUGGGAACGUGCCUUUAGGUUCGGAAUAAGCUCGGGAAACUGGGUCUAAUACCGAAUGUGCCCUUCGGGGGAAAGAUUUAUCGCCUUUAGAGCGGCCCGCGUCUGAUUAGCUAGUUGGUGGGGUAAUGGCCCACCAAGGCUACGAUCAGUAGCUGGUCUGAGAGGAUGACCAGCCACAUUGGGACUGAGACACGGCCCAAACUCCUACGGGAGGCAGCAGUGGGGAAUCUUGCGCAAUGGGCGAAAGCCUGACGCAGCCAUGCCGCGUGUAUGAUGAAGGUCUUAGGAUUGUAAAAUACUUUCACCGGUGAAGAUAAUGACUGUAGCCGGAGAAGAAGCCCCGGCUAACUUCGUG
RNAcentral lists this ribosomal RNA (434 nucleotides) under uncultured bacterium. RNAcentral describes it as "bacterial SSU rRNA". It matches the Rfam family "Bacterial small subunit ribosomal RNA", at positions 27 to 507 of the family's 1533-position model. The record is from RNAcentral.